GGCUGAAAUUCGCCUUCAUGAAGCCGGAAUUGCUAGUAAUGGCAGGUCAGCAUACUGCCGUGAAUACGUUCCCGGGCCUUGUACACACCGCCCGUCACACCAUGAGAGUUGGGGAUACCCGAAGCCUGUGAGCUAACUUUUAGAGGCAGCAGUCGAAGGUAGAAUCAAUGACUGGGGUGAAGUCGUAACAAGGUACC
Molecule: ribosomal RNA, 197 nt
Filed under: uncultured bacterium
Lineage: Bacteria
Description: partial 16S ribosomal RNA
Rfam family: Bacterial small subunit ribosomal RNA
Source: RNAcentral